GGAGAUGCCCUUCUCUGGAGUUUCAUAGCAAGCCCAGCAUAUGGUGAGCUGGGAUACAGAAGAGUCACGGGAGGACACUUUCCACUGCUACCUCAGCUUCCUUCUCUCUUUCACUUCUUCUUCCCCUAGACCGUUUGCUAGUCACUUCACACUUCAAGUAUGCAGCUUCACCUACUGUGUGCAGUGCAGAUGCACUACAGUACAAAAGGUAUAUAAAACUACUAGAGAGUGUACAAAGGAAGGCUACAAGGCAGGUGAAGGGUCUGGAGGCCAAGAUGUAUGAGGAGCAGAUGAGGUCCCUUGGUUUCUUCAGCCUAGAAAAGAAAGAGGAGAAAGAUUGCAGAUUAGCCCUGACUAGGCAACCACUUUCAUUAUUCUGAGCCGGGUCAAGAGAAGAGACUUUCAAAUGCUGAUUCUCUGUGCUUCCUCCUGAUAAGAAAGAAGAGUUUGUUAGAUCUGGAAACCGAGAGAGGAGAAGAGAGGAGCUGGAGCGCUUAAGCUUUUCAACCUUGUGUUUGGAAAAAUAUGGGACUGGAUGAACACUGAAAAGGUCAAAGAAGAAGCAGAUGAUGUUUUGUUGGAUAGUUGUGUACAGGAUCUAUUGUUUGAAAUAAAAAUCAUGAUUUCAUUUUCAUUCUCAACUGAUGGGGGGAAAAAAUGAAGUUAUUAGACUUUUCCAGAGCUAUUGAUGAUUUGUUCAUGUUUAAAGUACAUUAUUUUACAAAGGGACGUAGUAUUCAUUAUUUACAACUAUUUUUAAUGUUGUUAACCAGCUUUUGGGAUUUUGAAGUUUUUUACAUUUUCACAUUCAGAAAAAUAAAUAAAUGAAGAUCUGA
Long non-coding RNA from Lagopus leucura (white-tailed ptarmigan), 836 nucleotides. RefSeq lists it as uncharacterized. NCBI's taxonomy places the organism in Eukaryota, Metazoa, Chordata, Aves, Galliformes, Phasianidae. The transcript has 2 exons. The record is from RefSeq and is a predicted model, not a curated record.